Cercocebus atys (sooty mangabey) is the source of this 107-nucleotide small nuclear RNA. The record is from Ensembl. Lineage: Eukaryota; Metazoa; Chordata; Mammalia; Primates; Cercopithecidae.
GUGCUUCCUUCAGCAACACAUAUAAUAAAAUUGGGAUGAUACAGAGAAGAUUAGCAUGGCCCCUGUAUGAAGAUGAUACACAAACUCAUGAAAUGUUCUGUAUUUUA